This 457-nucleotide ribosomal RNA is filed under the name uncultured bacterium. RNAcentral describes it as "bacterial SSU rRNA". It matches the Rfam family "Bacterial small subunit ribosomal RNA", at positions 28 to 506 of the family's 1533-position model. The record is from RNAcentral.
GACGAACGCUGGCGGCGUGCUUAACACAUGCAAGUCGAGCGAUGAAGCACCUUCGGGUGUGAAUUAGCGGCGAACGGGUGAGGAACACGUGAAGAAUCUGCCUUCAACUCUGGGAUAACUCCGGGAAACCGGGGCUAAUACCGGAUAUGAGCCUUGAUCGCAUGAUCGGGGCUGGAAAGUUUUUCGGUUGAAGAUGACUUCGCGGCCUAUCAGCUUGUUGGUGAGGUAAUGGCUCACCAAGGCGACGACGGGUAGCCGGCCUGAGAGGGCGACCGGCCACACUGGGACUGAGACACGGCCCAGACUCCUACGGGAGGCAGCAGUGGGGAAUAUUGGGCAAUGGAGGAAACUCUGACCCAGCGACGCCGCGUGAGGGAUGAAGGCCUUCGGUGUAACCUCUUCAGUAGGAAGAAGCGAAAGUGACGGUACCGUACAGAAGAAGCACGGCUAACUAUGU